UCCCAGGUGGCUUAGAGGGUAAGCAUCUGCCUGCAAUGCUGGAGAUUCAGGUUCAAUCCUGAGUCAGGAA
RNAcentral lists this transfer RNA (70 nucleotides) under Ovis aries (sheep). It matches the Rfam family "tRNA". Rfam says of the family: Transfer RNA (tRNA) molecules are approximately 80 nucleotides in length. The record is from Rfam by way of RNAcentral. Lineage: Eukaryota; Metazoa; Chordata; Mammalia; Artiodactyla; Bovidae.